GUGCCAGCCGCUGCGGUAAUACGGAGGGUGCAAGCGUUAAUCGGAAUUACUGGGCGUAAAGCGCACGCAGGCGGUCUGUCAAGUCGGAUGUGAAAUCCCCGGGCUCAACCCGGGAACUGCAUUCGAAACUGGCAGGCUGGAGUCUCGUAGAGGGGUAGAAUUCCAGGUGUAGCGGUGAAAUGCGUAGAGAUCUGGAGGAAUACCGGUGGCGAAGGCGGCCCCCCUGGACGAAGACUGACGCUCAGGUGCGAAAGCGUGGGGAGCAAACGGGAUUAGAUACCCCGGUAGUCCACGCCCUAAACGAUGUCAACUAGGUGUUGGGGACCUUGAGUUCUCGGGUACCGGAGCUAACGCAUUAAGUUGACCGCCUGGGGAGUACGGCCGCAAGGUUGAAACUCAAAGAAUUGACGGGGACCCGCACAAGCGGUGGAGCAUGUGGUUUAAUUCGAUGCAACGCGAAGAACCUUACCAGGCCUUGACAUCCAGAGAACAAAGCAGAGAUGCAUUGGUGCCUUCGGGAACUC
RNAcentral lists this ribosomal RNA (524 nucleotides) under uncultured bacterium. RNAcentral describes it as "bacterial SSU rRNA". It matches the Rfam family "Bacterial small subunit ribosomal RNA", at positions 505 to 1029 of the family's 1533-position model. The record is from RNAcentral.